UUUUUAGCAGGAUCAACCUCGAUUCCUCUCUUACAAUGAACCCCAGCAGCUUGCCGGCCCGCACUCUGAUAGUGCACUUAUUCAAUUCAACCUCAGUUUGAAUCAUUUCAACUGGUCAAACAACUUGCCCCUCGUGCAGCUGAAUCACCUUCUCCUCUUGUUUCAACAACCUGGUUAAUCUUCCAGUAGAUCACAAUCUUCUUCGCCUUAUUCUUCGACAUGAUAGAUCGAAUUGUCGAAGUCAUAUGAGGUGUAACCAAAUUGUUAUCAAUGAGAUCCGGAGAAUUAUUU
This 291-nucleotide long non-coding RNA is filed under the name Lathyrus oleraceus (garden pea). Its description in RNAcentral is "Pisum sativum (pea) long non-coding RNA (PSAT_LNC021413)". Lineage: Eukaryota; Viridiplantae; Streptophyta; Magnoliopsida; Fabales; Fabaceae. The record is from RNAcentral.